UACGUAGAGGACAAGCGUUAUCCGGAAUUACUGGGCGUAAAGCGCACGCAGGCGGCAGCUUAAGUCCGACGUGAAAUCUCCUGGCUUAACUGGGAGAGGUCGUUGGAAACUGGGCAGCUUGAGGUGGUGAGAGGGGUGCAGAAUUCCCGGUGUAGUGGUGGAAUGCGUAGAUAUCGGGAGGAAUACCAGUGGCGAAAGCGGCGCCCUGGCACUGACCUGACGCUCAUGUGCGAAAGCGUGGGGAGCAAACGGG
This 253-nucleotide ribosomal RNA is filed under the name uncultured bacterium. RNAcentral describes it as "partial 16S ribosomal RNA". It matches the Rfam family "Bacterial small subunit ribosomal RNA", at positions 524 to 776 of the family's 1533-position model. The record is from RNAcentral.